Molecule: ribosomal RNA, 2923 nt
Filed under: Klebsiella pneumoniae
Lineage: Bacteria; Pseudomonadati; Pseudomonadota; Gammaproteobacteria; Enterobacterales; Enterobacteriaceae
Description: bacterial LSU rRNA
Rfam family: Bacterial large subunit ribosomal RNA
Source: RNAcentral
GGGUUGUGAGGUUAAGCGACUAAGCGUACACGGUGGAUGCCCUGGCAGUCAGAGGCGAUGAAGGACGUGCUAAUCUGCGAAAAGCGUCGGUAAGGUGAUAUGAACCGUUAUAACCGGCGAUGUCCGAAUGGGGAAACCCAGUGCAAUUCGUUGCACUAUCGUUAACUGAAUACAUAGGUUAACGAGGCGAACCGGGGGAACUGAAACAUCUAAGUACCCCGAGGAAAAGAAAUCAACCGAGAUUCCCCCAGUAGCGGCGAGCGAACGGGGAGCAGCCCAGAGUCUGAAUCAGCUUGUGUGUUAGUGGAACGGUCUGGAAAGUCCGACGGUACAGGGUGAUAGUCCCGUACACCAAAAUGCACAGGUUGUGAACUCGAAGAGUAGGGCGGGACACGUGGUAUCCUGUCUGAAUAUGGGGGGACCAUCCUCCAAGGCUAAAUACUCCUGACUGACCGAUAGUGAACCAGUACCGUGAGGGAAAGGCGAAAAGAACCCCGGCGAGGGGAGUGAAAAAGAACCUGAAACCGUGUACGUACAAGCAGUGGGAGCACCUUCGGGUGUGACUGCGUACCUUUUGUAUAAUGGGUCAGCGACUUAUAUUCUGUAGCAAGGUUAACCGUAUAGGGGAGCCGCAGGGAAACCGAGUCUUAACUGGGCGUUAAGUUGCAGGGUAUAGACCCGAAACCCGGUGAUCUAGCCAUGGGCAGGUUGAAGGUUGGGUAACACUAACUGGAGGACCGAACCGACUAAUGUUGAAAAAUUAGCGGAUGACUUGUGGCUGGGGGUGAAAGGCCAAUCAAACCGGGAGAUAGCUGGUUCUCCCCGAAAGCUAUUUAGGUAGCGCCUCGUGAAUUCAUCUUCGGGGGUAGAGCACUGUUUCGGCUAGGGGGUCAUCCCGACUUACCAACCCGAUGCAAACUACGAAUACCGAAGAAUGUUAUCACGGGAGACACACGGCGGGUGCUAACGUCCGUCGUGAAGAGGGAAACAACCCAGACCGCCAGCUAAGGUCCCAAAGUCAUGGUUAAGUGGGAAACGAUGUGGGAAGGCACAGACAGCCAGGAUGUUGGCUUAGAAGCAGCCAUCAUUUAAAGAAAGCGUAAUAGCUCACUGGUCGAGUCGGCCUGCGCGGAAGAUGUAACGGGGCUAAACCAUGCACCGAAGCUGCGGCAGCGACACUAUGUGUUGUUGGGUAGGGGAGCGUUCUGUAAGCCUGCGAAGGUGUGCUGUGAGGCAUGCUGGAGGUAUCAGAAGUGCGAAUGCUGACAUAAGUAACGAUAAAGCGGGUGAAAAGCCCGCUCGCCGGAAGACCAAGGGUUCCUGUCCAACGUUAAUCGGGGCAGGGUGAGUCGACCCCUAAGGCGAGGCCGAAAGGCGUAGUCGAUGGGAAACAGGUUAAUAUUCCUGUACUUGGUGUUACUGCGAAGGGGGGACGGAGAAGGCUAUGUUAGCCGGGCGACGGUUGUCCCGGUUUAAGCAUGUAGGCUGGUUGUCCAGGCAAAUCCGGAUAAUCAAGGCUGAGGUGUGAUGACGAGGCACUACGGUGCUGAAGUAACAAAUGCCCUGCUUCCAGGAAAAGCCUCUAAGCAUCAGGUAACAUCAAAUCGUACCCCAAACCGACACAGGUGGUCAGGUAGAGAAUACCAAGGCGCUUGAGAGAACUCGGGUGAAGGAACUAGGCAAAAUGGUGCCGUAACUUCGGGAGAAGGCACGCUGGUGUGUAGGUGAAGUCCCUGCGGAUGGAGCUGAGACCAGUCGAAGAUACCAGCUGGCUGCAACUGUUUAUUAAAAACACAGCACUGUGCAAACACGAAAGUGGACGUAUACGGUGUGACGCCUGCCCGGUGCCGGAAGGUUAAUUGAUGGGGUUAUCCGUAAGGAGAAGCUCUUGAUCGAAGCCCCGGUAAACGGCGGCCGUAACUAUAACGGUCCUAAGGUAGCGAAAUUCCUUGUCGGGUAAGUUCCGACCUGCACGAAUGGCGUAAUGAUGGCCAGGCUGUCUCCACCCGAGACUCAGUGAAAUUGAACUCGCUGUGAAGAUGCAGUGUACCCGCGGCAAGACGGAAAGACCCCGUGAACCUUUACUAUAGCUUGACACUGAACAUUGAGCCUUGAUGUGUAGGAUAGGUGGGAGGCUUUGAAGCGUGGACGCCAGUCUGCGUGGAGCCAACCUUGAAAUACCACCCUUUAAUGUUUGAUGUUCUAACGUUGGCCCCUUACCGGGGUUGCGGACAGUGUCUGGUGGGUAGUUUGACUGGGGCGGUCUCCUCCCAAAGCGUAACGGAGGAGCACGAAGGUUAGCUAAUCCUGGUCGGACAUCAGGAGGUUAGUGCAAUGGCAUAAGCUAGCUUGACUGCGAGCGUGACGGCGCGAGCAGGUGCGAAAGCAGGUCAUAGUGAUCCGGUGGUUCUGAAUGGAAGGGCCAUCGCUCAACGGAUAAAAGGUACUCCGGGGAUAACAGGCUGAUACCGCCCAAGAGUUCAUAUCGACGGCGGUGUUUGGCACCUCGAUGUCGGCUCAUCACAUCCUGGGGCUGAAGUAGGUCCCAAGGGUAUGGCUGUUCGCCAUUUAAAGUGGUACGCGAGCUGGGUUUAGAACGUCGUGAGACAGUUCGGUCCCUAUCUGCCGUGGGCGCUGGAGAAUUGAGGGGGGCUGCUCCUAGUACGAGAGGACCGGAGUGGACGCAUCACUGGUGUUCGGGUUGUCAUGCCAAUGGCACUGCCCGGUAGCUAAAUGCGGAAGAGAUAAGUGCUGAAAGCAUCUAAGCACGAAACUUGCCCCGAGAUGAGUUCUCCCUGAGACUUUAAGUCUCCUGAAGGAACGUUGAAGACGACGACGUUGAUAGGCCGGGUGUGUAAGCGCAGCGAUGCGUUGAGCUAACCGGUACUAAUGAACCGUGAGGCUUAACCUUACAACGCCGAAG